UUUCCGUAGGUGAACCUGCGGAAGGAUCAUUAAAAAAAUAUACGCCUGGUGGAGGAAUUGAGCAAUCGCCGAAACCAGAAGCUGUGUAUACAACCACCUGUUUACCUUUACCUGUUGCUUCCGUGGAAUACGGGUGCUCUUCCUGUUCGCAGGCUUGAGUUACCUUCCACGGGUGUAUUUUAAAACUCGUUUUGUAUUAUUGUCUGAUCUAAAAUUUUAAUAAAAGUUAAAACUUUCAACAACGGAUCUCUAGGUUCUC
RNAcentral lists this unclassified non-coding RNA (259 nucleotides) under root metagenome. Its description in RNAcentral is "partial contains small subunit ribosomal RNA, internal transcribed spacer 1, and 5.8S ribosomal RNA". The record is from RNAcentral.